GCUUUCUUCACGAUCCUUUUCCCGCUUCUUGUAAAGCCUUUCGAGAACACGCUUGGCCUCACAUUGAGGGAAGUUUUCCAGAUCAUAAUAGUGUGCUGCUAUAUCCACCAACCAUUCACCCCGGAUAUCUGUCACUGUACGGAUGAAAUUCCUACUCGUUAGGACGUACUCAUUGUAAAUGACCCACUCUGGUUUCUGAUCCAAGCAAUUCGAUGGAUGCAAGUGUACCACCUGGUUGUCCUUCACUGUCAAGUAGUGUCCAGUCCGUUCCAAAUGAGCUACUUGCAUGAAAUACCCAGAUAGCAUAGCCUUUCUAAUAUUUACGUAGUAGUCACGGCUGUUGAAAUCUGUGCUGCAUAAUUUGAGGUUAAACCUAGACAUGAUGCGGACUAGUUGCUCUCUCACAUUAUCU
RNAcentral lists this unclassified non-coding RNA (412 nucleotides) under Hevea brasiliensis (rubber tree). The record is from RNAcentral. Lineage: Eukaryota; Viridiplantae; Streptophyta; Magnoliopsida; Malpighiales; Euphorbiaceae.